RNAcentral lists this ribosomal RNA (495 nucleotides) under uncultured bacterium. RNAcentral's name for it is "partial 16S ribosomal RNA". It matches the Rfam family "Bacterial small subunit ribosomal RNA", at positions 28 to 523 of the family's 1533-position model. The record is from RNAcentral.
GAUGAACGCUAGCGGGAGGCCUAACACAUGCAAGCCGAGCGGUAGAGAUCUUUCGGGAUCUUGAGAGCGGCGUACGGGUGCGGAACACGUGUGCAACCUGCCUUUAUCAGGGGGAUAGCCUUUCGAAAGGAAGAUUAAUACCCCAUAAUAUUUAGAAUGGCAUCAUUUUAAAUUGAAAACUCCGGUGGAUAGAGAUGGGCACGAGCAAGAUUAGAUAGUUGGUAGGGUAACGGCCUACCAAGUCUGCGAUCUUUAGGGGGCCUGAGAGGGUGAUCCCCCACACUGGUACUGAGACACGGACCAGACUCCUACGGGAGGCAGCAGUGAGGAAUAUUGGACAAUGGGUGCGAGCCUGAUCCAGCCAUCCCGCGUGAAGGAUGACGGCCCUAUGGGUUGUAAACUUCUUUUGUAUAGGGAUAAACCUAGACACGUGUAUCUAGCUGAAGGUACUAUACGAAUAAGCACCGGCUAACUCCGUGCCAGCCGCCGCCGUAA